This 503-nucleotide ribosomal RNA is filed under the name uncultured Glomus. RNAcentral describes it as "SSU rRNA". It matches the Rfam family "Eukaryotic small subunit ribosomal RNA", at positions 569 to 1076 of the family's 1831-position model. The record is from RNAcentral. Lineage: Eukaryota; Fungi; Glomeromycota; Glomeromycetes; Glomerales; Glomeraceae.
AGCAGCCGCGGUAAUUCCAGCUCCAAUAGCGUAUAUUAAAGUUGUUGCAGUUAAAAAGCUCGUAGCUGAAUUUCGGGGUUAGUAGGUUGGUCAUGCCUCUGGUAUGUACUGGUCUCACUGAUUCCUCCUUCCUGAUGAACCGUAAUGCCAUUAAUUUGGUGUUGCGGGGAAUUUGGACUGUUACUUUGAAAAAAUUAGAGUGUUUAAAGCAAGCUAACGCUUGAAUACAUUAGCAUGGAAUAAUGAAAUAGGACGUUCGAUCCUAUUUUGUUGGUUUCUAGGAUUGACGUAAUGAUUAAUAGGGAUAGUUGGGGGCAUUAGUAUUCAAUUGUCAGAGGUGAAAUUCUUGGAUUUAUUGAAGACUAACUACUGCGAAAGCAUUUGCCAAGGAUGUUUUCAUUAAUCAAGAACGAAAGUUAGGGGAUCGAAGACGAUCAGAUACCGUCGUAGUCUUAACCAUAAACUAUGCCGACUAGGGAUCGGAUGAUGUUAAUUUUUUAAUG